CUACGGGCUGCUCCAGUGGGGAAUAUUGCACAAUGGGGGGAACCCUGAUGCAGCGACGCCGCGUGAGUGAAGAAGUAUUUCGGUAUGUAAAGCUCUAUCAGCAGGGAAGAUAAUGACGGUACCUGACUAAGAAGCCCCGGCUAACUACGUGCCAGCAGCCGCGGUAAUACGUAGGGGGCAAGCGUUAUCCGGAUUUACUGGGUGUAAAGGGAGCGUAGGUGGCGUGGCAAGUCAGAAGUGAAAGCCCGGGGCUCAACCCCGGGACUGCUUUUGAAACUGUCAUGCUGGAGUGCAGGAGAGGCAAGUGGAAUUCCUAGUGUAGCGGUGAAAUGCGUAGAUAUUAGGAGGAACACCAGUGGCGAAGGCGGCUUGCUGGACUGUAACUGACACUGAGGCUCGAAAGCGUGGGGAGCAAACAGGAUUAGAUACCCGCGUAGUC
RNAcentral lists this ribosomal RNA (439 nucleotides) under uncultured bacterium. RNAcentral's name for it is "partial 16S ribosomal RNA". It matches the Rfam family "Bacterial small subunit ribosomal RNA", at positions 339 to 795 of the family's 1533-position model. The record is from RNAcentral.